RNAcentral lists this ribosomal RNA (583 nucleotides) under uncultured Archaeosporales. RNAcentral's name for it is "SSU rRNA". It matches the Rfam family "Eukaryotic small subunit ribosomal RNA", at positions 624 to 1213 of the family's 1831-position model. Lineage: Eukaryota; Fungi; Glomeromycota; Glomeromycetes; Archaeosporales. The record is from RNAcentral.
AAGCUCGUAGUUGAAUUUCGGGCUUGGCCAGGCGGUCCGUCUUUGGCGAGUACUGUUCUGUGUCGGGUCUUUCUUUCUGGUUAACCGGUGUGCUCUUUAUUGAGCGUGCCGUGGGAGCCAGGACCAUUACCUUGAAAAAAUUAGAGUGUUUAAAGCGGGCAUUUGCUUGAAUAGAUUAGCAUGGAAUAAUAAAAUAGGACGUUGGUUCUAUUUUGUUGGUCUAGGACCACCGUAAUGACUAAUAGGGAUAGUUGGGGGCAUUAGUAUUUAAUUGUCAGAGGUGAAAUUCUUGGAUUUAUUGAAGACUAACUAUUGCGAAAGCAUUUGCCAAGGAUGUUUUCAUUAAUCAAGAACGAAAGUUAGGGGAUCGAAGACGAUCAGAUACCGUCGUAGUCUUAACCAUAAACUAUGCCGACUAGGAAUCGGGCGUCGUUAUUUUCACGACUCGCCCGGCGCCUUAUGGGAAACCAAAGUUUUUGGGUUCCGGGGGGAGUAUGGUCGCAAGGCUGAAACUUAAAGGAAUUGACGGAAGGGCACCACCAGGGGUGGAGCCUGCGGCUUAAUUUGACUCAACACGGGGAAA